RNAcentral lists this ribosomal RNA (280 nucleotides) under uncultured bacterium. RNAcentral's name for it is "partial 16S ribosomal RNA". It matches the Rfam family "Bacterial small subunit ribosomal RNA", at positions 773 to 1060 of the family's 1533-position model. The record is from RNAcentral.
GUGGAUUAGAUACCCCAGUAGUCCACGCCGUAAACGAUGGAUACUAGCUGUUCGGAGCAAUCUGAGUGGCUAAGCGAAAGUGAUAAGUAUCCCACCUGGGGAGUACGCACGCAAGUGUGAAACUCAAAGGAAUUGACGGGGGCCCGCACAAGCGGUGGAGCAUGUGGUUUAAUUCGAUGAUACGCGAGGAACCUUACCAGGGCUUAAAUGUAGAUUGACAGGACUGGAAACAGUUUUUUCUUCGGACAAUUUACAAGGUGCUGCACGGCCGUCGUCAACU